RNAcentral lists this ribosomal RNA (460 nucleotides) under uncultured bacterium. Its description in RNAcentral is "partial 16S ribosomal RNA". It matches the Rfam family "Bacterial small subunit ribosomal RNA", at positions 338 to 795 of the family's 1533-position model. The record is from RNAcentral.
CCUACGGGAGGCAGCAGUGAGGAAUAUUGGUCAAUGGACGAGAGUCUGAACCAGCCAAGUAGCGUGAAGGAUGACUGCCCUAUGGGUUGUAAACUUCUUUUAUAUGGGAAUAAAAUGUUCCACGUGUGGGAUUUUGUAUGUACCAUAUGAAUAAGGAUCGGCUAACUCCGUGCCAGCAGCCGCGGUAAUACGGAGGAUCCGAGCGUUAUCCGGAUUUAUUGGGUUUAAAGGGAGCGUAGGUGGAUUGUUAAGUCAGUUGUGAAAGUUUGCGGCUCAACCGUAAAAGUGCAGUUGAAACUGGCAGUCUUGAGUACAGUAGAGGUGGGCGGAAUUCGGGGUGUAGCGGUGAAAUGCUUAGAUAUCACGAAGAACUCCGAUUGCGAAGGCAGUUCACUGGACUGCAACUGACACUGAGGCUCGAAAGUGUGGGUAUCAAACAGGAUUAGAUACCCUUGUAGUC